GACGAACGCUGGCGGCGUGCUUAACACAUGCAAGUCGAACGGAAAGGCCUGCUUUCCCUUGUGUAUUGCGGGUACUCGAGUGGCUAACGGGUGAGUAACACGUGAGUGAUCUGCCCCCAACUUGGGUAUAAGCCUGGGAAACUGUGUCUAAUUCCCGAUAGGACUGCAGGGUGGUGCCUGUGGUGGAAAACGAUUUUCUAGUGGUUGGGGAUUGGCUCGCGGCCUAUCAGCUUGUUGGUGGGGUAAUGGCCUACCAAGGCGGCGACGGGUAGCCGGCCUGAGAGGGUGGACGGCCAAAUUGGGACUGAGAUACGGCCAAGACUCCUACGGGAGGCAGCAGUGGGGAAUAUUGCACAAUGGGCGGAAGCCUGAUGCAGCGACGCCGCGUGGGGGAUGACGGCCUUCGGGUUGUAAACUCCUUUCGACCGAGAGGAAGCCACCUGGUUGGAAGGGUGGUGACGGUAGUGGUAGAAGAAGCACCGGCUAACUACGUG
RNAcentral lists this ribosomal RNA (494 nucleotides) under uncultured bacterium. RNAcentral describes it as "partial 16S ribosomal RNA". It matches the Rfam family "Bacterial small subunit ribosomal RNA", at positions 28 to 507 of the family's 1533-position model. The record is from RNAcentral.